This 600-nucleotide ribosomal RNA is filed under the name Triticum aestivum (bread wheat). RNAcentral describes it as "partial small subunit ribosomal RNA". Lineage: Eukaryota; Viridiplantae; Streptophyta; Magnoliopsida; Poales; Poaceae. The record is from RNAcentral.
AUGUACCGUGCGCUCACACAUUCUGAGGUACUAGUAAGUAAUAACAAGAAAAUUUGGAAGUCCAAGAUUCCACUAAAAGUGAAAUUUUUCAUGUGGUAUCUUUGUAAGGGAGUUGUGUUGACCAAAGACAACCUCGCACGACGCAACUGGCCACGGAGUAAGAAGUGUUGUUUUUGUACUCAUGACGAGACAAUCAAACACCUCUUUUUUCAAUGCAAGUUUGCACGUUCUACGUGGUCAAUCAUCCAAAUAGCGUCAAAUUUAUAUCCGCCCACAAGUGUUGCCAAUAUAUUUGGUCACUGGUUGGACGAUAUUCCAAAUAGGUUUAAAGCGCUUAUAAGGGUGGGAGCGUACGCCUUAAUUUGGUCGCUCUGGCUAUGUAGAAACGAUUUGGUUUUUAAUAAAAAAAAUGCUUCUCCUCUGCAGGUUAUUUUCCGUUGUACGCAAUCGCUUCAUACAUGGUCUAUGCUACAACGAUCGGAGCACCAAUCGCUGUUCAAGGCGGUGUGUACGCGGUUGAAGCAGGUGGCUACGGAGGUUUUUUCCCAACAUGGGUGGCAGCAUAACCUCCGGAUCGAUCCACCACCACCUUCGACAUAG